Long non-coding RNA from Hyla sarda, 357 nucleotides. RefSeq lists it as uncharacterized. The transcript has 3 exons. The record is from RefSeq and is a predicted model, not a curated record. NCBI's taxonomy places the organism in Eukaryota, Metazoa, Chordata, Amphibia, Anura, Hylidae.
UUUUUUUUCCUCUGCACAGGUCUUGAUAAAUCUCCCCCAAUAUGAAUCGGUUCCAGGACGACCAUUGUAGGUUGAGACCAUUGUAUGUUGAGACCAGAACUCUAUGGAAACCUGUCAGGCUGACCUUGUGGAGACAGCAGCUGACGUUAUAUACACAUCGCAUGAUGAAACCGGCUGCAAGAGGAGCGGCUGCAAGGAUGGAGUCACACUGCCAUCUUCUGGUCAGGACGAGAAGUUCAACAGGGUUCGGUCAGAGUUACUCAGGGUUAUUGCGCCCAAAUUUGCGCCACAGUUGAUGAAUUCUCAGUUGAUGAAUUAGUAACCACUGCAGGAAAGGACUUGAAAAGUCGCUUAGGU